RNAcentral lists this ribosomal RNA (459 nucleotides) under uncultured bacterium. Its description in RNAcentral is "partial 16S ribosomal RNA". It matches the Rfam family "Bacterial small subunit ribosomal RNA", at positions 338 to 795 of the family's 1533-position model. The record is from RNAcentral.
CCUACGGGAGUCAGCAGUGAGGAAUAUUGGUCAAUGGCCGAGAGGCUGAACCAGCCAAGUCGCGUGAGGGAAGACGGCCCUACGGGUUGUAAACCUCUUUUGUCGGGGAGCAAAGCGAGUCACGUGUGACUCAUUGAGAGUACCCGAAGAAAAAGCCUCGGCUCACCCCGUGCCAGCAGCCGCGGUAAUACGGAGGAUGCGAGCGUUAUCCGGAUUUAUUGGGGUUAAAGGGUGGGCAGGCGGAGGUGCAAGUCAGCGGUCAAAUUGCGGGGCUCAACCCCGUCCUGCAGUUGAAACUGCAGCCCUUGAGUGCGCGAGAAGUAUGCGGAAUGCGUGGUGUAGCGGUGAAAUGCAUAGAUAUUACGCAGAACUCCGAUUGCGAAGGCAGCAUACCGGCGCGCAACUGACGCUCAUGCACGAAAGCGUGGGUAUCGAACAGGAGUAGAUACCCCAGUAGUC